GACGAACGCUGGCGGCGUGCUUAACGCAUGCAAGUCGAUCGGAAAGGCCCUGCUUUUGUGGGGUGCUCGAGUGGCGAACGGGUGAGUAACACGUGAGUAACCUGCCCUUGACUUUGGGAUAACUUCAGGAAACUGGGGCUAAUACCGGAUAGGAGCUCCUGCUGCAUGGUGGGGGUUGGAAAGUUUCGGCGGUUGGGGAUGGACUCGCGGCUUAUCAGCUUGUUGGUGGGGUAGUGGCUUACCAAGGCUUUGACGGGUAGCCGGCCUGAGAGGGUGACCGGCCACAUUGGGACUGAGAUACGGCCCAGACUCCUACGGGAGGCAGCAGUGGGGAAUAUUGCACAAUGGGCGGAAGCCUGAUGCAGCAACGCCGCGUGCGGGAUGACGGCCUUCGGGUUGUAAACCGCUUUCGCCUGUGACGAAGCGUGAGUGACGGUAAUGGGUAAAGAAGCACCGGCUAACUACGUG
Molecule: ribosomal RNA, 468 nt
Filed under: uncultured bacterium
Lineage: Bacteria
Description: partial 16S ribosomal RNA
Rfam family: Bacterial small subunit ribosomal RNA
Source: RNAcentral